GCAUUCGUGGUGUAGUUUUCAGCACGCUUGACGCGUAUUCGAGAUGUCCGUGGUUCGAGUCCCGGCGAGGGUA
Molecule: transfer RNA, 73 nt
Filed under: Stegodyphus mimosarum
Lineage: Eukaryota; Metazoa; Arthropoda; Arachnida; Araneae; Eresidae
Rfam family: tRNA
About the family: Transfer RNA (tRNA) molecules are approximately 80 nucleotides in length.
Source: Rfam by way of RNAcentral